CUUUCUUAUCUUCCUCUGAGCUUUCUGCUCUCCGAUUACGCUAUCAUUAUCAGAAAGAAGAAUCUCACAGUGCCUUGGUGGUAUAGUUUCUCCUAUGUAAGUUUUAUCCACGUAUAACCACUUGGAAGAGGGGAAGAAAUGCAGAUAAUGUAAUCUGAAAAUAACACAGAGAAGAAUGAUCCUAAAGAGGAGUGUAGACACAUUAUGGCAAAGGAGACACAGGCUACAAUGCUGAAACUUUGCUGCGUGAACAAUAAGCCAUGGAAGCUUGUUUAUUGCUAUCAGCUUUGUGAGAAAAUAUCAUUGUCUCCAGGUACACGUCAGGAAAUAUAACUCCAGCUUUAAUUUGAAUGGAUCGAAGAGUAGGGGACUAACCAGAGAGGAAGGACUUUCCUAAGACCAACCAGCAGCCUGACGACACAGAUGAAAUCUGAGCAGAUGCAGAUGAGUCACUGCCACUUCCAACAGCCAAGAGGCUUCUGUGCAUCAUCCAUAUUUCAUCAAGCAUGAACAAUUCCCACUGAAGUCAAAGGGAUUUUACCUGUUGUGUCUUUAGAUAUCCUGGGAUUUUUAUGAUGUCUGUGAUCUAAAAAUAUACUUUUCCUCUGCACAGUUUACAAGAUGUUCUGAAAGAUUAAGGAUAGCCAGAUUGUCAAUUGGCAGUCAUCGGUCAUUUGCCAUCAUUUUGUAGGUGGGAAAAUUGAGGCAC
Long non-coding RNA from Athene cunicularia (burrowing owl), 709 nucleotides. RefSeq lists it as uncharacterized. The record is from RefSeq and is a predicted model, not a curated record. The transcript has 4 exons. Lineage: Eukaryota; Metazoa; Chordata; Aves; Strigiformes; Strigidae.